ACUCUGUAGCUGAGACAUCGGGCCAGUUACUUAACUUCUUGACCCUGUUUCCUCAUCUGGGAAUAUGGGAGCAAGGUUUUUAUAGAGCUGUUGGGAAACCGCUAAGACCUAGCUGGUCUUAAGACUGAGGCGCUUAACACUGAAUAGGACCUGAAUUUGCAACAGUUUCCUCUUACUGUCAGAAUUUAGCUUUUUAAAAUAUAUAUAGAAUAAUCAUAGUUUGUUGUUUCUGUUCUGUUUAGAAACAAGAGCAACUUAAUUAAACUAACAGGUUGAUGCCACAAGGAGUCAUCUGCUGUGUGAUAGUUCCAGGUACAGGGGCAGGCACGUUGCAAACUCUGGCCAACUCUGGGAGUUGGUGAGAUCUUGCCUUUGGUAGAUUUUGAGCCACCUGUUUACUUUUUUACAAAUUAAAAAAAGAAUAUUUAUUUACAUGUUUGUGGGCACUUGUGUGCUGCUGCAGUCAUGGAGGUCAGAGGAUAGAUUGUGGGAAUUGGCUUUCCCUUCUUCCACCAUGUGGGUCCUCUGCUUGGUGACAAGUGCCUUUACUGCUGAGUCAUCUCCCGCUGCGUGCCCCACCCCACCCCUCCUCGUGCGCCUUAGUUUAGUACUCUGAAUUUACUUUUAAGUCGGUGCCAGCCUGUAAAGGCACUUGUCAUCAAGCCCGACCACUUAAGUUAGAACCACAGAACCCAUGAGGUGGAAGGAGAGAACUGACUUCAGCCGGUUGUCCUCUGACCACCACACAUACACCGCGUUCCGCGUGCGCCGCCCACCUCCCCCGCCAUAAAUACAUU
This 797-nucleotide long non-coding RNA is filed under the name Mus musculus (house mouse). RNAcentral describes it as "long non-coding RNA chr5:105730673-105731470". The record is from RNAcentral. Lineage: Eukaryota; Metazoa; Chordata; Mammalia; Rodentia; Muridae.